RNAcentral lists this ribosomal RNA (433 nucleotides) under Limnonectes doriae (Doria's frog). Its description in RNAcentral is "partial large subunit ribosomal RNA". It matches the Rfam family "Bacterial large subunit ribosomal RNA", at positions 1940 to 2542 of the family's 2925-position model. The record is from RNAcentral. Lineage: Eukaryota; Metazoa; Chordata; Amphibia; Anura; Dicroglossidae.
CCCUGACCGUGCGAAGGUAGCAUAAUCACUUGUUCUCUAAAUAAGGACUUGUAUCAACGGCAUCACGAGGGUUAUACUGUCUCCUCUUUUUAAUCAGUGAAACUGACUUUCCCGUGAAGAGGCGGGAAUAGAAAUACAAGACGAGAAGACCCCAUGGAGCUUUAAACCCAGUAGUAACCUCUAUUUACUACUACUACUUAAUCAAGAAGGCCUACCUACUGGUUUUAGGUUGGGGUGACCCUGGAGUAAAACUAAGCCUCCAUGACGAAUAGAAUUAUUCUAAUCCCAGAGCCACUGCUCUACGAAUCAAAAUUUUGACGUAAACUGAUCCGCCUAGCGAUCAACGAACCAAGUUACCCUGGGGAUAACAGCGCAAUCCAUUUCAAGAGCCCCUAUCGACAAAUGGGUUUACGACCUCGAUGUUGGAUCAGGG